RNAcentral lists this ribosomal RNA (348 nucleotides) under Triticum aestivum (bread wheat). Its description in RNAcentral is "partial small subunit ribosomal RNA". The record is from RNAcentral. Lineage: Eukaryota; Viridiplantae; Streptophyta; Magnoliopsida; Poales; Poaceae.
AUGGAUUUUAGCCCAUCAAUCCUAUGUUGGAACGUGAGAGGAUUAAACAACCCAGCGAAGAGAGAUGCAAUUAGGGCGUUCGUUGCCACCGUGAAAGUGAAUGUAAUUUGUCUGCAAGAAACUAAGAUGAAAGUCAUUGACCGUUACACUAUGUUGCAAUGCCUCGGGCCGGCCUUCGAUGGCUUUGCUUUUCUGCCCGUGGCAGAUACGAGAGGUGGAGUUCUCAUCGCUUGGGAUUCGACUUGCAUUGACAUUGAUCAUUUCCACGCGAACACUGAUUUCAUCUUGGGGCGGGUUCUUACGAGACAUGGGGCAUCCUGGUGGAUUUCCGCGGUCUAUGGACAAUAG